This 406-nucleotide ribosomal RNA is filed under the name uncultured bacterium. Its description in RNAcentral is "partial 16S ribosomal RNA". It matches the Rfam family "Bacterial small subunit ribosomal RNA", at positions 30 to 526 of the family's 1533-position model. The record is from RNAcentral.
AUUGAACGCUGGCGGCAGGCCUAACACAUGCAAGUCGAACGAUUGGCGGACGGGUGAGUAAUGUCUGGGAAACUGCCCGAUGGCGGGGGAUAACUACUGUAAACGGUAGCUAAUACCGCAUACCAUCGGAUGUGCCCAGAUGGGAUUGGCUAGUAGGUGGGGUAAUGGCUCACCUAGGCGGCGAUCCCUAGCUGGUCUGAUAGGGUGACCAGCAACACUGGAACUGAGACACGGGCCAGACUCCUACGGGAGGCAGCAGUGGGGAAUAUUGCACAAUGGGCGCAAGCCUGAUGCAGCCAUGCCGAGUGUAUGAAGAAGGCCUUCGGGUUGUAAAGUACUUUCGGCGAGGAGGAGUUACUCGCAGAAGAAGCACCGGCUAACUCCGUGCCAGCAGCCGCGGUAAUAC